AGAGCGAACGCUGGCGGCAGGCCUAACACAUGCAAGUCGAGCGCCCGUAGCAAUACGGGAGCGGCAGACGGGAUAGUAACACGUGGGAACGCGCCCUUCGGUUCGGAAUAACUCAGGGAAACUUGAGCUAAUACCGGAUACGCCCUUACGGGGAAAGAUUUAUUGCCGAAGGAACGGCCCGCGUCCGAUUAGCUAGUUGGUGAGGUAAUGGCUCACCAAGGCGACGAUCGGUAGCUGGUCUGAGAGGAUGACCAGCAUCACUGGGACUGAGACACGGCCCAGACUCCUACGGGAGGCAGCAGUGGGGAAUAUUGGACAAUGGGCGCAAGCCUGAUCCAGCCAUGCCGCGUGGAUGAUGAAGGCCUUAGGGUUGUAAAGUCCUUUUAACGGGGAAGAUAAUGACGGUACCCGUAGAACUAAGCCCCGGCUAACUUCGUGUCCAGCAGCCGC
This 450-nucleotide ribosomal RNA is filed under the name uncultured bacterium. RNAcentral's name for it is "SSU rRNA". It matches the Rfam family "Bacterial small subunit ribosomal RNA", at positions 26 to 518 of the family's 1533-position model. The record is from RNAcentral.